This is a long non-coding RNA of Polypterus senegalus (gray bichir), 527 nucleotides long. RefSeq lists it as uncharacterized. The transcript has 3 exons. The record is from RefSeq and is a predicted model, not a curated record. Lineage: Eukaryota; Metazoa; Chordata; Cladistia; Polypteriformes; Polypteridae.
AUAUACGAGGACAGUCCCCAAAACUUCUUUUUGGUUAAGUUUCUUUUUAUUUACAAAGAAGAAAUUCCACAAUAUAUACGAGAAAUUUAAGAGAACCCGCUCUUCUUGUGACCAGAAGUUAAUGCUUCAUAUGCAGGCCAUUCCUACAGCAAUCACCAAGAAACCAGCUGACACUUCUGGUCUGAUCACUAUAAAACCCAGACGUCCCAGAAGAAGGUGUGUUUUGAGCAGACCAGAGCUAUUCCCAUGAUGGAGCACUGCCUCACCUUGAGCAAAUAAGAAAAUGAAAACCCUUUCUUUUGUUGUUAAUGAGAAACUCCAGUUGGAGAGCUACACUAAGAUGCACCUUUACAUUUUUUCAUUCUUUUUGGUUCGAGAUGAUUAAAAGGGGCUACCUGGUUGCCAUCCCAAAAGAUUCUUCCUUUUUGAGACUGUCCUUUCACUGCCCAACCUCACUAUGUGAUUGAAAAACAAAAGCAAACAUGUAACAAUAUUGGAGAUAUCUUUACAGACGCAUAUUCAAUACA